AGGGAUCAUUACUGAGUACUACACUCUCUACCCUUUGUGAACUAUUAUACCUGUUGCUUCGGCGGCGCCCGCAAGGGUGCCCGCCGGUCUCAUCAGAAUCUCUGUUUUCGAACCCGACGAUACUUCUGAGUGUUCUUAGCGAACUGUCAAAACUUUUAACAACGGAUCUCUUGGCUCCAGCAUCGAUGAAGAACGCAGCGAAACGCGAUAUGUAAUGUGAAUUGCAGAAUUCAGUGAAUCAUCGAAUCUUUGAACGCACAUGGCGCCUUCCAGUAUCCUGGGAGGCAUGCCUGUCCGAGCGUCGUUUCAACCCUCGAGCCCCUGUGGCCCGGCGUUGGGGAUCUGCCACGGCAGGCCCCUAAAACCAGUGGCGGACCCGAAGGCCCUCUCCUUUGCGCAGUAGCAUCAGCCUCGCAUUGGGAUCCCUCGGCGUCCUGCCUCUAAACCCCCCACAAGUCCGCUCCGGCGGCACCAAGGUUGACCUCGGAUCAGGUAGGAAUACCCGCUG
RNAcentral lists this ribosomal RNA (508 nucleotides) under uncultured Plectosphaerella. RNAcentral describes it as "eukaryotic LSU rRNA". The stretch from base 151 to 304 matches the Rfam family "5.8S ribosomal RNA". Lineage: Eukaryota; Fungi; Ascomycota; Sordariomycetes; Glomerellales; Plectosphaerellaceae. The record is from RNAcentral.